Podarcis lilfordi (Lilford's wall lizard) is the source of this 1461-nucleotide non-coding RNA. Lineage: Eukaryota; Metazoa; Chordata; Lepidosauria; Squamata; Lacertidae. The record is from the annotation of a GenBank genome assembly.
UAUGGGCUUCUCGCCGUUUGGACCAUGAUGAGGAAAUGCAUUGCAAAGUUUGGGAAGGACAGAUGAUGAAUGGGAAAACAUGCAAAUAUCCUGACAAUAAGGAGAUCAGGGUAAGUGCAGAAUGAAUGCUCGUAAACAAAUCAUAACGAAUGUUCAAUAAAAAGCAGACAUAGUCUAGCCACUGCAUAAGCUUUGAGCAAGCAAAGGAGAAUUAAUGUGGAGUGGAGGAGCUAUAUCUCUCUGUCACUUGCCACAUCCGUCUCCUCCUCUCCAGUUUGAAUCUUUUUUUGUAUUUCCUCCUCCCAAUUAAUUUUCUUUGUGUCAUGUCUUUUUAAGAGUGUAGGCCCGAGGGCAGGGACUGUUAAGUUUUGUGAUCUGGAAGCUACUCAGAGAGCCUUUUCUGAUUAACCUUAAUUAUUUUCUUUUCCUUUUAGGUGACUUUUGCUUCAUUUCAGGUGACAGCAGUUUUGCAAUGAAAAAAGUAAGUAACCCACUUAUUUCACAUCACAGUCUUCUGACAUACAGCAGUGUCGGGAAAGUUCAGCCCCAGGGGCCAAAUGCAGCCCUCCGGGCCAAUCUCCCUAGCUCUCUCAGAACUCUUCUCCAGCCACACAGCCACUACUAGCCAUGCUUCAAGCUCUCCCUGAGCAUUUUUGUCUGCCUGGAAUGCAUCCGUCAAUCCUGAUGAUGCUUCCCUGGAUGGAGGAUAGAGAGCAGUGUCCUAGGUGAAUGUGCGUACAAAGGUAAAAUUUGCAUUCAUCACUCCACCAACUUUUGCCUCUGGCCCCACCCAUCACUGCCACAUGCCCCCUGGCCCCAAAGGUUGUGCCGGAGGGACUGUUGCCCUUCAGUUGAACAAUAUAUCCCUCCCCUACAGCAUGCUGUGUCCUAUUCAACUGCCCCCUUUGUUUUAUAGACACACACUUGCUGCUCUUAUUUUAGAUUAUCACAUUAGGUCUGUCCUGUUACACACAUAGGGACACGGGUGGCACUGUGGGAUAAACCACAGAGCCUAGGGCUUGCUGAUCAGAAGGUCGGCGGUUCAGAUCCCAACCAUGGGGUGAGCUCCUGGUCCCAGUUCCUGCCAACCUAGCAGUUCGAAAGCACGUCAGAGUGCAAGUAGAUAAGUAGGUACCUCUCUGGCGGGAAGGUAAACGGCAUUUCUGAGCGCUGCUGUGGUUCGCCAGAUGUGCCUUAGUCACGCUGGCCACAUGACCCGGAAGCUGUCUGCGGACAAACGCGAGCUGCCUCGGCCAGUAAAGCGAGAUGACCACUGCAACCCCAGAGUCGUCCACAACUGGUCCUAAUGGUCAGGGGUCCGUUUACCUUUAUUACACACAUAGAUGUGCUUGUGGAGCUUAGCUAGUUGGGAAUCAGCAUUUGUCCUUGUGGUUUUUAUCUAGGUAUGAUGUUAGAACUGCAGCCUCCAAACUACUAAUGCCAGAUGAAUGUCAGUGAUGU